RNAcentral lists this transfer RNA (73 nucleotides) under Malassezia sympodialis ATCC 42132. Its description in RNAcentral is "tRNA-Tyr (GTA) (tRNA-Tyr-GTA-1-1)". It matches the Rfam family "tRNA". From Rfam's summary of the family: Transfer RNA (tRNA) molecules are approximately 80 nucleotides in length. Lineage: Eukaryota; Fungi; Basidiomycota; Malasseziomycetes; Malasseziales; Malasseziaceae. The record is from RNAcentral.
CCAGCCAUAGCUCAGUUGGAAGAGCGAAGGUUUGUAACACCUUAGGUCCCGUGUUCGAAUCACGGUGGCUGGA